RNAcentral lists this ribosomal RNA (659 nucleotides) under Escherichia coli. RNAcentral describes it as "partial 23S ribosomal RNA". It matches the Rfam family "Bacterial large subunit ribosomal RNA", at positions 1273 to 1917 of the family's 2925-position model. The record is from RNAcentral. Lineage: Bacteria; Pseudomonadati; Pseudomonadota; Gammaproteobacteria; Enterobacterales; Enterobacteriaceae.
CUGGAGGUAUCAGAAGUGCGAAUGCUGACAUAAGUAACGAUAAAGCGGGUGAAAAGCCCGCUCGCCGGAAGACCAAGGGUUCCUGUCCAACGUUAAUCGGGGCAGGGUGAGUCGACCCCUAAGGCGAGGCCGAAAGGCGUAGUCGAUGGGAAACAGGUUAAUAUUCCUGUACUUGGUGUUACUGCGAAGGGGGGACGGAGAAGGCUAUGUUGGCCGGGCGACGGUUGUCCCGGUUUAAGCGUGUAGGCUGGUUUUCCAGGCAAAUCCGGAAAAUCAAGGCUGAGGCGUGAUGACGAGGCACUACGGUGCUGAAGCAACAAAUGCCCUGCUUCCAGGAAAAGCCUCUAAGCAUCAGGUAACAUCAAAUCGUACCCCAAACCGACACAGGUGGUCAGGUAGAGAAUACCAAGGCGCUUGAGAGAACUCGGGUGAAGGAACUAGGCAAAAUGGUGCCGUAACUUCGGGAGAAGGCACGCUGAUAUGUAGGUGAAGUCCCUCGCGGAUGGAGCUGAAAUCAGUCGAAGAUACCAGCUGGCUGCAACUGUUUAUUAAAAACACAGCACUGUGCAAACACGAAAGUGGACGUAUACGGUGUGACGCCUGCCCGGUGCCGGAAGGUUAAUUGAUGGGGUCAGCGCAAGCGAAGCUCUUGAUCGAAG